Molecule: ribosomal RNA, 854 nt
Filed under: Bacillus sp. (in: firmicutes)
Lineage: Bacteria; Bacillati; Bacillota; Bacilli; Caryophanales; Bacillaceae
Description: bacterial SSU rRNA
Rfam family: Bacterial small subunit ribosomal RNA
Source: RNAcentral
GAGUAACACGUGGGUAACCUGCCUGUAAGACUGGGAUAACUCCGGGAAACCGGGGCUAAUACCGGAUGCUUGUUUGAACCGCAUGGUUCAAACAUAAAAGGUGGCUUCGGCUACCACUUACAGAUGGACCCGCGGCGCAUUAGCUAGUUGGUGAGGUAAUGGCUCACCAAGGCAACGAUGCGUAGCCGACCUGAGAGGGUGAUCGGCCACACUGGGACUGAGACACGGCCCAGACUCCUACGGGAGGCAGCAGUAGGGAAUCUUCCGCAAUGGACGAAAGUCUGACGGAGCAACGCCGCGUGAGUGAUGAAGGUUUUCGGAUCGUAAAGCUCUGUUGUUAGGGAAGAACAAGUACCGUUCGAAUAGGGCGGUACCUUGACGGUACCUAACCAGAAAGCCACGGCUAACUACGUGCCAGCAGCCGCGGUAAUACGUAGGUGGCAAGCGUUGUCCGGAAUUAUUGGGCGUAAAGGGCUCGCAGGCGGUUCCUUAAGUCUGAUGUGAAAGCCCCCGGCUCAACCGGGGAGGGUCAUUGGAAACUGGGGAACUUGAGUGCAGAAGAGGAGAGUGGAAUUCCACGUGUAGCGGUGAAAUGCGUAGAGAUGUGGAGGAACACCAGUGGCGAAGGCGACUCUCUGGUCUGUAACUGACGCUGAGGAGCGAAAGCGUGGGGAGCGAACAGGAUUAGAUACCCUGGUAGUCCACGCCGUAAACGAUGAGUGCUAAGUGUUAGGGGGUUUCCGCCCCUUAGUGCUGCAGCUAACGCAUUAAGCACUCCGCCUGGGGAGUACGGUCGCAAGACUGAAACUCAAAGGAAUUGACGGGGGCCCGCACAAGCGGUGGAGCAUGUGGUU